GCCUACGGGCCAUACCACCCUGAGAACGCCCGAUCUCGUCUGAUCUCGGAAGCUAGCAGGGUCGGGCCCGGUUAGUACUUGGAUGGGAGACCGCCUGGGAAUACCGGGUGCUGUAGGCU
This 119-nucleotide ribosomal RNA is filed under the name Aquila chrysaetos chrysaetos. Lineage: Eukaryota; Metazoa; Chordata; Aves; Accipitriformes; Accipitridae. The record is from RNAcentral.